Long non-coding RNA from Musca domestica (house fly), 618 nucleotides. RefSeq lists it as uncharacterized. The transcript is spliced from 2 exons. NCBI's taxonomy places the organism in Eukaryota, Metazoa, Arthropoda, Insecta, Diptera, Muscidae. The record is from RefSeq and is a predicted model, not a curated record.
CUGUCCAUAUAUAUUUUUUUUGUUACGCAUUUCAAUAUUUUUUUGUAUAUAUUAUAUUAUAAUUAUUUUAAUUGAAUUAAUUGUAUAAUUUGUAAUCAAUGGCACUUUCUUUUUUACUUCAAAUAAUGUUUUGCUGUCUUUUUGUUGUUUUGUCGUCGUCGUCGUUUUACGUAAAAAAUUACCUUUACGUUUGAAUACGUAAAUAAGAAAUCUGCAAUUUGUAAGGAAUGAAUUCAAAAUGAAUUCAAUUAUCUGGUCUUCGUACAUUUUCCAGAACAAAAUUAUACAAAUGUCAGUUUUGUAUGUGUAAUGAAUGACAACAAAAGCAAGCAUACAUAUGCCGUAUGCAUACGUACAUAUGUAGAACUGAAGAUUUGCAGUCAUGAAAUUAUUAAGUAUAAAGAAGGAGAAGCCUUUCUUGGUGGGUAUAUUUUGGAUAAAACGUGAGAAAAUAACCACUAUACGAGGAUAAUCGAAUUCGGUCGGUGAUUUAUAUAAACCAUACAAUACAUUAUGGGCCUUUAACGGAAUCGCAUCCAAAAGCCCACAAAUGCAUCUAAACAUGUAAAGGACUAAACCUAUUUUAAAAUUAAACAGCAUGUGUCGUAUUAUGGUUAA